GAUGAACGCUAGCGGCAGGCUUAACACAUGCAAGUCGAGGGGUAUGCUUCUUCGGAAGCAGAGACCGGCGCACGGGUGCGUAACGCGUAUGCAAUCUACCUUUUACAGAGGGAUAGCCCAGAGAAAUUUGGAUUAAUACCUCAUAGUAUUAUAGAAUGGCAUCAUUUUAUAAUUAAAGUCACAACGGUAAAAGAUGAGCAUGCGUCCCAUUAGCUAGNGGUAAGGUAACGGCUUACCAAGGCUACGAUGGGUAGGGGUCCUGAGAGGGAGAUCCCCCACACUGGUACUGAGACACGGACCAGACUCCUACGGGAGGCAGCAGUGAGGAAUAUUGGACAAUGGGCGCAAGCCUGAUCCAGCCAUGCCGCGUGCAGGAUGACGGUCCUAUGGAUUGUAAACUGCUUUUAUACGAGAAGAAACACUCCUUCGUGAAGGAGCUUGACGGUAUCGUAAGAAUAAGGAUCGGCUAACUCCGUGCC
This 479-nucleotide ribosomal RNA is filed under the name uncultured bacterium. Its description in RNAcentral is "bacterial SSU rRNA". It matches the Rfam family "Bacterial small subunit ribosomal RNA", at positions 28 to 509 of the family's 1533-position model. The record is from RNAcentral.